UACGUAGGGUGCAAGCGUUGUCCGGAAUUAUUGGGCGUAAAGAGCUCGUAGGCGGUUUGUCGCGUCGAAUGUGAAAACCCGGGGCUCAACCCCGGGCCUGCAUUCGAUACGGGCAGACUAGAGUUCGGUAGGGGAGUCUGGAAUUCCUGGUGUAGCGGUGAAAUGCGCAGAUAUCAGGAGGAACACCGGUGGCGAAGGCGGGACUCUGGGCCGAUACUGACGCUGAGGAGCGAAAGCAUGGGGAGCGAACAGG
Molecule: ribosomal RNA, 253 nt
Filed under: uncultured bacterium
Lineage: Bacteria
Description: partial 16S ribosomal RNA
Rfam family: Bacterial small subunit ribosomal RNA
Source: RNAcentral